GAUGAAGAACGCAGCGAAAUGCGAUAAGUAAUGUGAAUUGCAGAAUUCAGUGAAUCAUCGAAUCUUUGAACGCACAUUGCGCCCGCCAGUAUUCUGGCGGGCAUGCCUGUUCGAGCGUCAUUACAACCCUCAGGCCCCCGGGCCUGGCGUUGGGGAUCGGCGGAAGCCCCCUGCGGGCACAACGCCGUCCCCCAAAUACAGUGGCGGUCCCGCCGCAGCUUCCAUUGCGUAGUAGCUAACACCUCGCGACUGGAGAGCGGCGCGGCCACGCCGUAAAACACCCAACUCUUCUGAAGUUGACCUCGAAUCAGGUAGGAAUACCCGCUGAACUUAAGCAUAUCAAUAAGCGGAGGA
RNAcentral lists this unclassified non-coding RNA (354 nucleotides) under soil metagenome. RNAcentral's name for it is "partial contains 5.8S ribosomal RNA, internal transcribed spacer 2, and large subunit ribosomal RNA". The stretch from base 1 to 120 matches the Rfam family "5.8S ribosomal RNA", at positions 35 to 154 of the family's 154-position model. The record is from RNAcentral.